This 75-nucleotide transfer RNA is filed under the name Aphanothece sp. RNAcentral describes it as "tRNA-Val". It matches the Rfam family "tRNA". From Rfam's summary of the family: Transfer RNA (tRNA) molecules are approximately 80 nucleotides in length. Lineage: Bacteria; Bacillati; Cyanobacteriota; Cyanophyceae; Chroococcales; Aphanothecaceae. The record is from RNAcentral. RNAcentral also lists the same sequence under 28 other names.
GCGCGGUUAGCUCAGUGGUAGAGCACUACCUUGACACGGUAGGGGUCACAGGUUCGAACCCUGUAUCGCGCACCA